GUGAGGAAUAUUGGUCAAUGGGCGAGAGCCUGAACCAGCCAAGUAGCGUGCAGGAUGACGGCCCUAUGGGUUGUAAACUGCUUUUGUCAGGGGAUAAAAGAGGGAACGUGUUCCCUAUUGCAUGUACCUGAAGAAUAAGGACCGGCUAAUUCCGUGCCAGCAGCCGCGGUAAUACGGAAGGUCCGGGCGUUAUCCGGAUUUAUUGGGUUUAGAGGGAGCGCAGGCUGGUGAUUAAGCGUGACGUGAAAUGCCGCAGCUCAACUGUGGAAGUGCGUCGCGAACUGGUUACCUUGAGUGUAUUCGACGUCAGCGGAAUUCGUGGUGUAGCGGUGAAAUGCUUAGAUAUCACGAAGAACUCCGAUUGCGAAGGCAGCUGGCGAGGCUAUAACUGACGCUAAAGCUCGAAGGUGCGGGUAUCGAACAGGAUUAGAAACCCUAGUAGUCC
Molecule: ribosomal RNA, 445 nt
Filed under: uncultured bacterium
Lineage: Bacteria
Description: bacterial SSU rRNA
Rfam family: Bacterial small subunit ribosomal RNA
Source: RNAcentral